Molecule: ribosomal RNA, 468 nt
Filed under: uncultured bacterium
Lineage: Bacteria
Description: partial 16S ribosomal RNA
Rfam family: Bacterial small subunit ribosomal RNA
Source: RNAcentral
GACGAACGCUGGCGGCGUGCUUAACACAUGCAAGUCGAACGGAAAGGCCCUGCUUUUGUGGGGUGCUCGAGUGGCGAACGGGUGAGUAACACGUGAGUAACCUGCCCUUGACUUUGGGAUAGCUUCAGGUAACGGGGGCUAAUACCGGAUAGGAGCUCCUGCUGCAUGGUGGGGGUUGGAAAGUUUCGGCGGUUGGGGAUGGACGCGCGGGUGAUCGGCUUGUUGGUGGGGUAGUGGCUUACCAAGGCUUUGACGGGUAGGCGGCCUGAGAGGGUGACCGGCCACAUUGGGACUGAGAUACGGCCCAGACUCCUACGGGAGGCAGCAGUGGGGAAUAUUGCACAGUGGGCGGAAGCCUGAUGCAGCAACGCCGCGUGCGGGAUGACGGCCUUCGGGUUGUAAACCGCUUUCGCCUGUGACGAAGCGUGAGUGACGGUAAUGGGUAAAGAAGCACCGGCUAACUACGUG